AGAGUUUGAUCCUGGCUCAGAACGAACGCUGGCGGCAGGCUUAACACAUGCAAGUCGAGCGCCCCGCAAGGGGAGCGGCAGACGGGUGAGUAACGCGUGGGAACGUACCUUUUGCUACGGAAUAACUCAGGGAAACUUGUGCUAAUACCGUAUGUGCCCGAAAGGGGAAAGAUUUAUCGGCAAAGGAUCGGCCCGCGUUGGAUUAGCUAGUUGGUGAGGUAAAGGCUCACCAAGGCGACGAUCCAUAGCUGGUCUGAGAGGAUGAUCAGCCACACUGGGACUGAGACACGGCCCAGACUCCUACGGGAGGCAGCAGUGGGGAAUAUUGGACAAUGGGCGCAAGCCUGAUCCAGCCAUGCCGCGUGAGUGAUGAAGGCCCUAGGGUUGUAAAGCUCUUUCACCGGUGAAGAUAAUGACG
This 418-nucleotide ribosomal RNA is filed under the name Brucella tritici. Its description in RNAcentral is "bacterial SSU rRNA". It matches the Rfam family "Bacterial small subunit ribosomal RNA", at positions 8 to 456 of the family's 1533-position model. The record is from RNAcentral. Lineage: Bacteria; Pseudomonadati; Pseudomonadota; Alphaproteobacteria; Hyphomicrobiales; Brucellaceae.